GUACUCCGGGGAUAACAGGCUGAUACCGCCCAAGAGUUCAUAUCGACGGCGGUGUUUGGCACCUCGAUGUCGGCUCAUCACAUCCUGGGGCUGAAGUAGGUCCCAAGGGUAUGGCUGUUCGCCAUUUAAAGUGGUACGCGAGCUGGGUUUAGAACGUCGUGAGACAGUUCGGUCCCUAUCUGCCGUGGGCGCUGGAGAACUGAGGGGGGCUGCUCCUAGUACGAGAGGACCGGAGUGGACGCAUCACUGGUGUUCGGGUUGUCAUGCCAAUGGCACUGCCCGGUAGCUAAAUGCGGAAGAGAUAAGUGCUGAAAGCAUCUAAGCACGAAACUUGCCCCGAGAUGAGUUCUCCCUGACCCUUUAAGGGUCCUGAAGGAAC
Molecule: ribosomal RNA, 379 nt
Filed under: Shigella flexneri
Lineage: Bacteria; Pseudomonadati; Pseudomonadota; Gammaproteobacteria; Enterobacterales; Enterobacteriaceae
Description: partial 23S ribosomal RNA
Rfam family: Bacterial large subunit ribosomal RNA
Source: RNAcentral